GCUCAGUUGGUAAAGCACAAGGCUCUUAACCUUUUGGACGUGGAUUCAAGUCCCAU
Molecule: transfer RNA, 56 nt
Filed under: Triticum aestivum (bread wheat)
Lineage: Eukaryota; Viridiplantae; Streptophyta; Magnoliopsida; Poales; Poaceae
Also listed under: 1 other name
Rfam family: tRNA
About the family: Transfer RNA (tRNA) molecules are approximately 80 nucleotides in length. Their secondary structure includes four short double-helical elements and three loops (D, anti-codon, and T loops). Further hydrogen bonds mediate the characteristic L-shaped molecular structure. tRNAs have two regions of fundamental functional importance: the anti-codon, which is responsible for specific mRNA codon recognition, and the 3' end, to which the tRNAs corresponding amino acid is attached (by aminoacyl-tRNA synthetases). tRNAs cope with the degeneracy of the genetic code in two manners: having more than one tRNA (with a specific anti-codon) for a particular amino acid; and 'wobble' base-pairing, i.e. permitting non-standard base-pairing at the 3rd anti-codon position.
Source: Rfam by way of RNAcentral